UGAAUUUUAAUUACAAAGUCCAACAAAGGAUUGGGUUUACUGCUGCAACGUAUCCCACAGAGGAGAUUUGGUAGACAGUGUAUUGAUGGCUUGUAUACUCCCAAGGCUAAGAGAAAAAGUUUUCUGCUCUGUGAUGAGCCAUCAAUCAAUCUUCUUUCCACUGUAUUUAUCGCUGUGCCCCUGCGCUAUUAGAAAGAAAGAAAAAAAAAAAAAAAUCUGAAUCUACCAAUUCAUCUUCAUCCUGUUCUUCAUCAGCAAAAAAGGUUUGGAUGGGAUGGAACGAACAUUGUGACAGGAAAAAGUAGCAUGAAUGUAUGG
Long non-coding RNA from Trifolium pratense (red clover), 318 nucleotides. RefSeq lists it as uncharacterized. NCBI's taxonomy places the organism in Eukaryota, Viridiplantae, Streptophyta, Magnoliopsida, Fabales, Fabaceae. The record is from RefSeq and is a predicted model, not a curated record. The transcript has 2 exons.